GGGGUGAUGGCGCAGUUGGCUAGCGGGUAGGUCUCGUGACUAACAGCGAGUUCGAGCCUCUCUCACCCCA
Molecule: transfer RNA, 70 nt
Filed under: Hordeum vulgare
Lineage: Eukaryota; Viridiplantae; Streptophyta; Magnoliopsida; Poales; Poaceae
Description: tRNA-Arg
Source: RNAcentral